CUAUAUAUAUUUUGAUCGCCAACUCAUAGAUACUAGCUCUAGUUGAUUUUAUUGGAAUUUGGGAGACUGUGCAUAAGUCAAUAUGCUAAAAUAACAAAUAAGGUCCAAUGAGAUAGAAAUACUGAAUCAAAAAAGCCGUAGGGUGAAGAGCAAAAGGAGGAGUCCACCCGAGGAAGGGCUCACAUCUGAUUAGCUAGUUGGUGAGGCAAUAGAUUACUAAGGCGAUGAUCAGUAAAUGGUCCGAGAGGAUGAUCAGCCACACUGGGACUAAGACACAGCCCAAACUCCUACGGGAGGUAGUAGUGGGGAAUUUUCCGCAAUGGGCGAAAGCCUGACAGAGCAAUGUCUUGUGGAGGUAGAAGGCCUACGGUUCGUGAACUUCUUUUCUCAGAGAAGGAGCAAUGACGCCCACGAAAGGUUUAUUUUUUUUAUUUUAUUGGAUUGAUUCAUUUUGAUCGAUUCGAUACGAGAUCGAG
Molecule: ribosomal RNA, 476 nt
Rfam family: Bacterial small subunit ribosomal RNA
Source: Rfam